Molecule: ribosomal RNA, 253 nt
Filed under: uncultured bacterium
Lineage: Bacteria
Description: partial 16S ribosomal RNA
Rfam family: Bacterial small subunit ribosomal RNA
Source: RNAcentral
GACAGAGGGUGCAAACGUUGUUCGGAAUUACUGGGCGUAAAGGGCGCGUAGGCGGCCUGUUAAGUCGAACGUGAAAUCCCCGGGCUCAACCCGGGAACUGCGUCCGAUACUGGCAGGCUUGAAUCCGGGAGAGGGAUGUGGAAUUCCAGGUGUAGCGGUGAAAUGCGUAGAUAUCUGGAGGAACACCGGUGGCGAAGGCGGCAUCCUGGACCGGCAUUGACGCUGAGGCGCGAAAGCUAGGGGAGCAAACGGG